This 879-nucleotide ribosomal RNA is filed under the name uncultured eukaryote. RNAcentral's name for it is "SSU rRNA". It matches the Rfam family "Eukaryotic small subunit ribosomal RNA", at positions 636 to 1469 of the family's 1831-position model. The record is from RNAcentral.
CGGUGUUCAACUGGCGUGUCCGCGGGACGUCCUGCCGGUGGGCUUAGCCCGCAAGGGCGGCCCCAACUUCAAAUCCCAUCGCGGUGCUCUUCACUGAGUGUCGAGGUGGGCCGGCACGUUUACUUUGAACAAAUUAGAGUGCUUAAAGCAGGCUAAAACUUCGCCUGAAUACUGUGUGCAUGGAAUAAUGGAAUAGGACCUCGGUUCUAUUUUGUUGGUUUUCGGAACCCCGAGGUAAUGAUUAAUAGGAACGGAUGGGGGCAUUCGUAUUGCGACGUUAGAGGUGAAAUUCUUGGAUCGUCGCAAGACGGACAGAAGCGAAAGCAUUUGCCAAAAACGCUUUCAUUGAUCAAGAACGAAAGUUAGAGGUUCGAAGGCGAUCAGAUACCGCCCUAGUUCUAACCAUAAACGAUGCCAGCUAGCGAUCCGUCGACGUUCCUCCGAUGACUCGACGGGCAGCUUCCGGGAAACCAAAGCUUUUGGGUUCCGGGGGAAGUAUGGUUGCAAAGCUGAAACUUAAAGGAAUUGACGGAAGGGCACCACCAGGAGUGGAGCCUGCGGCUUAAUUUGACUCAACACGGGAAACCUCACCAGGCCCGGACACCGGAAGGAUUGACAGAUUGAGAGCUCUUUCUUGAUUCGGUGGGUGGUGGUGCAUGGCCGUUCUUAGUUGGUGGAGCGAUUUGUCUGGUUAAUUCCGAUAACGAACGAGACUCUAGCCUGCUAACUAGGCGUAUUUUCGACAUCUCAAAGGUCCGUCGUCCCGGCCCUCGGGUCGUGGGCGUGCGCGAUUUUUACUGUCGGCGUACUAUCAAUUCUUCUUAGAGGGACAGGCUGGCUUCUAGCCGCACGAGAUUGAGCAAUAACAGGUCUGUGAUG